RNAcentral lists this long non-coding RNA (370 nucleotides) under Rattus norvegicus (Norway rat). RNAcentral describes it as "long non-coding RNA NONRATT015784". The record is from RNAcentral. Lineage: Eukaryota; Metazoa; Chordata; Mammalia; Rodentia; Muridae.
CUAUCACCAAGGAAAGAAACGAUCUAAAAGAAUUACAGGAGUCAUUUGAAAUAGAGAAAAAGCAACUUAAAGAAUACGCAAGAGAAAUGGAAUCUGCGGGCCUACAAACAAAAGAACAACUAAACAUUGCCCAUGCAAAUCUAAAAGAAUACCAAGAAAUCAUCAAAGAGCUAAGAGGAAGCAUUUCUGAAAAAGAAGCUCAAGCAUCAAGCACCCAGGACACAGGAAAAACCAACCCUGCAUCACAAGGAGAGACCCCAGUGCCGCGAGAGCAAGAGCUACUUCCUGAUGCGGAAGAAGCCAGGGCCAGUGCAGAGAAGGGGAGUGAACUGGAGCCAGUGGAAGAACAUUCCAGAACAGCGCACUCAUU